GACGAACGCUGGCGGCGUGCUUAACACAUGCAAGUCGAACGGAAAGGCCCUGCUUUUGUGGGGUGCUCGAGUGGCGAACGGGUGAGUAACACGUGAGUAACCUGCCCUUGACUUUGGGAUAACUUCAGGAAACUGGGGCUAAUACCGGAUAGGAGCUCCUGCUGCAUGGUGGGCGUUGGAAAGUUUCGGCGGUUGGGGAUGGACUCGCGGCUUAUCAGCUUGUUGGUGGGGUAGUGGCUUACCAAGGCUUUGACGGGUAGCCGGCCUGAGAGGGUGACCGGCCACAUUGGGACUGAGAUACGGCCCAGACGCCUACGGGAGGCAGCAGUGGGGAAUAUUGCACAAUGGGCGGAAGCCUGAUGCAGCAACGCCGCGUGCGGGAUGACGGCCUUCGGGUUGUAAACCGCUUUCGCCUGUGACGAAGCGUGAGUGACGGUAAUGGGUAAAGAAGCACCGGCUAACUACGUG
RNAcentral lists this ribosomal RNA (468 nucleotides) under uncultured bacterium. Its description in RNAcentral is "partial 16S ribosomal RNA". It matches the Rfam family "Bacterial small subunit ribosomal RNA", at positions 28 to 507 of the family's 1533-position model. The record is from RNAcentral.